RNAcentral lists this ribosomal RNA (497 nucleotides) under uncultured bacterium. RNAcentral describes it as "partial 16S ribosomal RNA". It matches the Rfam family "Bacterial small subunit ribosomal RNA", at positions 28 to 507 of the family's 1533-position model. The record is from RNAcentral.
GAUGAACGCUGGCGGCGUGCCUAAUACAUGCAAGUCGAGCGAACGGACGAGAAGCUUGCUUCUCUGAUGUUAGCGGCGGACGGGUGAGUAACACGUGGAUAACCUACCUAUAAGACUGGGAUAACUUCGGGAAACCGUAGCUAAUACCGGAUAAUAUUUUGAACCGCAUGGUUCAAAAGUGAAAGACGGUCUUGCUGUCACUUAUAGAUGGAUCCGCGCUGCAUUAGCUAGUUGGUAAGGUAACGGCUUACCAAGGCAACGAUGCAUAGCCGACCUGAGAGGGUGAUCGGCCACACUGGAACUGAGACACGGUCCAGACUCCUACGGGAGGCAGCAGUAGGGAAUCUUCCGCAAAGGGCGAAAGCCUGAUGGAGCAACGCCGCGUGAGUGAUGAAGGUCUUCGGAUCGUAAAACUCUGUUAUUAGGGAAGAACAUAUGUGUAAGUAACUGUGCACAUCUUGACGGUACCUAAUCAGAAAGCCACGGCUAACUACGUG